AUUGAACGCUGGCGGCAGGCCUAACACAUGCAAGUCGAGCGGAUGAAGGGAGCUUGCUCCUGGAUUCAGCGGCGGACGGGUGAGUAAUGCCUAGGAAUCUGCCUGGUAGUGGGGGAUAGCGUCCGGAAACGGGCGCUAAUACCGCAUACGUCCUGAGGGAGAAAGUGGGGGAUCUUCGGACCUCACGCUAUCAGAUGAGCCUAGGUCGGAUUAGCUAGUUGGUGGGGUAAAGGCCUACCAAGGCGACGAUCCGUAACUGGUCUGAGAGGAUGAUCAGUCACACUGGAACUGAGACACGGUCCAGACUCCUACGGGAGGCAGCAGUGGGGAAUAUUGGACAAUGGGCGAAAGCCUGAUCCAGCCAUGCCGCGUGUGUGAAGAAGGUCUUCGGAUUGUAAAGCACUUUAAGUUGGGAGGAAGGGCAGUAAGUUAAUACCUUGCUGUUUUGACGUUACAAACAGAAUAAGCACCGGCUAACUUCGU
Molecule: ribosomal RNA, 483 nt
Filed under: uncultured bacterium
Lineage: Bacteria
Description: partial 16S ribosomal RNA
Rfam family: Bacterial small subunit ribosomal RNA
Source: RNAcentral